RNAcentral lists this ribosomal RNA (556 nucleotides) under Bacillus sp. NRRL B-14911. RNAcentral's name for it is "bacterial LSU rRNA". It matches the Rfam family "Bacterial large subunit ribosomal RNA", at positions 2373 to 2925 of the family's 2925-position model. The record is from RNAcentral. Lineage: Bacteria; Bacillati; Bacillota; Bacilli; Caryophanales; Bacillaceae.
CUGCGAGACCUACAAGUCGAAGCAGGGACGAAAGUCGGGCUUAGUGAUCCGGUGGUUCCGCAUGGAAGGGGCCAUCGCUCAACGGAUAAAAGCUACCCCGGGGAUAACAGGCUUAUCUCCCCCAAGAGUCCACAUCGACGGGGAGGUUUGGCACCUCGAUGUCGGCUCAUCGCAUCCUGGGGCUGUAGUCGGUCCCAAGGGUUGGGCUGUUCGCCCAUUAAAGCGGUACGCGAGCUGGGUUCAGAACGUCGUGAGACAGUUCGGUCCCUAUCCGUCGUGGGCGCAGGAAAUUUGAGAGGAGCUGUCCUUAGUACGAGAGGACCGGGAUGGACGCACCGCUGGUGUACCAGUUGUCUUGCCAAAGGCAUCGCUGGGUAGCUAUGUGCGGAAGGGAUAAGUGCUGAAAGCAUCUAAGCAUGAAGCCCCCCUCGAGAUGAGAUUUCCCAUAGCGUCAAGCUAGUAAGAUCCCUGAAAGAUGAUCAGGUUGAUAGGUCUGAGGUGGAAGCGUGGUGACACGUGGAGCUGACAGAUACUAAUAGAUCGAGGACUUAACCAC